AAAAUACACAGGAACCAACGACGCUCCUCUUCUCUUCUCCUUCACAUCUCCUACACCUUCACCAAAUCGGGAAAAGCCUAAACCCUAGCCUCCAUAGAUGCGUUAGCCACUGCCACCCAUGCAAUAUUUCUUCCCUUUUCAUCAUCUGCAACCAGUGAUUUCUCUUUGAAUCAGCAGAGCAGUCACCAAAGUGGUGAUACAACGUUCAAAUUUGCAUUAAUGGUCUGGGAAUCAAACGAAUUUGAGAAAAGGAGUCGUCUCUUUCAAUUAUUUUGAAUUUAAAAUUCCUUAUCUCUCUACCCGUUGAUUUCUACGAAUUUUGCAUUUCAAAUCCGGACUUUGGGGUGUGGAUUUUCCUAUAAAUACCGAUAAUUUCAUGCUAUAGAGGAGAAGUUUUUCGGACUUCAAAAAUAGGGGGAAAGAACGUUCAAAAAACCAGUCGAAAGUACUCAUGACAAAAAUCAAGGAAAACUCACAAGAAAUCGGUUAACUUUUAAACUUCCUAUUGUUCACUUGUUUGAUUUUGCUGGCCGGAGAAUCUUGACGUCGAAGUUUCAAUUUGCUGCCCGAAAAAAAGGUGCAAACCUGUCCCCUUUAUUUUAUUUUCACCCUCCCUUCUUUUGUCCCCUCUAAUUCUAUGAAUGUGGGAUUACUGCUGAUUUUGAAGUGAUACUGUUGUUGCUAUGUUUGGGUCUGCACAUAAGAAUUUGGUCCCAUUUUUGAGAUUCUAUUGUUGUGUAUAUAGUCCGUGGGUAUGGAAAUAUAUGAUUUAACUUGGUUUCAAUUUUGGUUGUGGCAUUGUCGAUCGCUAUCUGUGAACCAGACUCAUGAGUAUGGUUGCCUCGUUUUACCAUGAUUCGAUAUAUAUGUUGCUGUUCGUAUGUUGGGCAGAAAGGAAAAUGGGUUGGGUGUCUGUAUCUUCAAGUUUUGGGAGAUGACUGAUUUAAUACUCUGUUGUUUUUUGGUUAGUCCCGCUCGGCUAUAGUCGAUCUCUAUUAACGUAGCUCGAGGGGUCCAAUUUUGUGUUCAAAUAUACACAUUGGUUGCUAGGUUAUGCUGUCCAAUUUUAUUUUUUUUCACAAAUCGAGCGUAAGAAAGCUAUUUUUUUCCUGAUCUUCAUUAUCUUUAAAAUUCGUCGUGUCAUGUUUAAAUUCAUAUAACUUUUGAAAAUCAGCCCUUUUGUUUUACCUCUUUUAUCCUUCUUUUCAUCUAUUCUGAUUUUGGAAUAUUUAAUGUGUUUAGUUUAUGUUGGUGUUGUCGUUUAUUUUUUCACGGAUGGAGUUCAACGAUAUGGUAUUGUCGUUGAUUUUGCUUUGCAUCUAAGUGAGGUUAAUAAUCAUGCGUUGGUCCCAAAAAAAAACGUUUGGAGAUUAUAAAAAACAAGAUUUUGAUCAUAAUAUUUGGUAUCGGUCAUGUGUAUGCGGUUAUAAUUUACCUAGACAUGAUAAACACUUGAUAAAGCUGGACUACCAUUAUUUAUUAAUUAGUCACUUCAAUGCAUUAUCCUUUUAGGUAUCACAUAAUAAGAGACCUUACGUCCACAAAUCGAGUUGGAUUCAAAUAUUCAUUGUCUUUAAAUAAUCUCACAUGUUGGAUUUUCGGCUUGUAUUUCUUCUACUAUAUUGCAUUGUAAAACAAGGUCCUCAAUAUGAUAGAGAAUAUGUGAUAAGUAUAGCAUGGAAACGCGACUGUAG
RNAcentral lists this long non-coding RNA (1694 nucleotides) under Capsicum annuum. Its description in RNAcentral is "long non-coding RNA (CANN_LNC013994)". The record is from RNAcentral. Lineage: Eukaryota; Viridiplantae; Streptophyta; Magnoliopsida; Solanales; Solanaceae.